Molecule: ribosomal RNA, 502 nt
Filed under: uncultured bacterium
Lineage: Bacteria
Description: partial 16S ribosomal RNA
Rfam family: Bacterial small subunit ribosomal RNA
Source: RNAcentral
AUUGAACGCUGGCGGAAUGCUUUACACAUGCAAGUCGAACGGCAGCACGGGUGCUUGCACCUGGUGGCGAGUGGCGAACGGGUGAGUAACAUAUCGGAACGUACCCAGUAAUGGGGGAUAACUAACCGAAAGGUUAGCUAAUACCGCAUACGCCCUGAGGGGGAAAGCGGGGGACCGUAAGGCCUCGCGUUAGUGGAGCGGCCGAUAUCUGAUUAGCUAGUUGGUAGGGUAAAGGCCUACCAAGGCGACGAUCAGUAGCAGGUCUGAGAGGAUGAUCUGCCACACUGGAACUGAGACACGGUCCAGACUCCUACGGGAGGCAGCAGUGGGGAAUUUUGGACAAUGGGCGAAAGCCUGAUCCAGCCAUUCCGCGUGAGUGAAGAAGGCCUUCGGGUUGUAAAGCUCUUUCGGCAGGGAAGAAACGGUCUAGGUUAAUACCUUGGGCUAAUGACGGUACCUGAAGAAGAAGCACCGGCUAACUACGUGCCAGCCGCCGCAGUAA